CGGCGAGUGAAUGGGGAUGAGCCCAGCACCGAAGACUGUGGUCGUUUGGCUACAAGUCAAUGUGGUGUUUAGGUCGUUCCGCGGAGUCACUGCUCCACCCUAAGUCCGUAAAUGAGAACGGUCUUAUGGACAUGGCCCAUGGAGGGUGUGAGGCCCGUGGGGGUGGAGUCUUUGAGGCCAGUGACUUCCUGGAUAGACCUUGGAGUCGGGUUGUUUGUGAAUGCAGCCCAAAGCGGGUGGUAAACUCCAUCCAAGGCUAAAUACAAGCACGAGUCCGAUAGUAAACAAGUACCGUGAGGGAAAGUUGAAAAGUACUCUGAAGAGAGAGUAAACAGUGCGUGAAACCGGUCAGAGGUAAACGGGUGGAGUUGAACUGCAAGCUCUGAGAAUUCAGCUGGUGAGUGUGGUUCGGGCUUGGCCGUGAUCGAUUGGAGCCCGGAGUCUGUGUAGCAACAGGCCUUCCUUGUGGGGGUGCGCGAUACACUUGUCAAGUGUUGUGCGCUUCGGGUGUCGUUCGGGCGGACUUGCCAGUGCACUUUCUCAGAGUAGUCACCACGACCGGCAUCGCUGUCUGGCCGUUGCGGUUAAAUCGAUCUUGCAUUGUCCCCGUGGCUCUGCUUGGUCGAGAUGGCAGGUAGCUCGUUGGCCUGCUUGCGGCUUGCCGCAGGCGUUCGGUUUUCGAGUGUAGAUCGGCUGACCGCCUCGGUUGCUGUGCAGUAUGUCGGAGACGGCGGCCUGUUGUGUGCGUGCGUGCGUGCCUGUUCGGCCGGCGCGUCCGGGCUUGGUUGUUAUGUUGCCUGUGUUCGCAGGCCUGGUGAUGGCUCGGACUCGUGCGGUCGGCGGUCGCGUGCGCGUCACAGUGUGAGGCCGAUAGUCUGUGGUGUAGUGGUAGACUAUCCACCUGACCCGUCUUGAAACACGGACCAAGGAGAGUAACGUGUGCGCGAGUCAUUGGGCGUUACGAAACCCAAAGGCGCAGUGAAAGUGAAGGUCUGGCUUGUCCGGACUGAGGUGAGAUCCUGUCGUUUCUCAUGCGCGGUACCACCAAGCUUCGAGCGGCAGGCGCAUCACCGGCCCGUCCCAUGACAAUUGUUUUCGGAUCUAACCCAGUCGGGGCGGAGCAUGAGCGCACACGUUGAGACCCGAAAGAUGGUGAACUAUGCUUGCGCAGGUUGAAGCCAGAGGAAACUCUGGUGGAAGACCGAAGCGGUUCUGACGUGCAAAUCGAUCGCCAGACGUGAGUAUAGGGGCG
This 1252-nucleotide ribosomal RNA is filed under the name Ophiosacculus mehelyi. RNAcentral describes it as "eukaryotic LSU rRNA". It matches the Rfam family "Eukaryotic large subunit ribosomal RNA", at positions 87 to 925 of the family's 3401-position model. Lineage: Eukaryota; Metazoa; Platyhelminthes; Trematoda; Plagiorchiida; Lecithodendriidae. The record is from RNAcentral.